AGAGUUUGAUCAUGGCUCAGAGCGAACGCUGGCGGCGUGCUUAACACAUGCAAGUCGAACGCGCAGUUUUCUGUAGCAAUACAGGAGGCGGGCGCGUGGCGAACGGGUGCGUAACACGUGGAUAACCUACCUUUGGGUGGGGAAUAACCCAGUGAAAAUUGGGCUAAUACCGCAUCACAUGACGAGGGCGCAUGCUCUUG
This 200-nucleotide ribosomal RNA is filed under the name uncultured bacterium. RNAcentral's name for it is "partial 16S ribosomal RNA". It matches the Rfam family "Bacterial small subunit ribosomal RNA", at positions 8 to 198 of the family's 1533-position model. The record is from RNAcentral.